CUGUUACUUGUGUCUCUUUCCUGGUGGCUGCAGGUUCAAAUUUAACAGACCCUGCAUACAAACUGAAAAGAGUCUGCUAUCAGGUUCAUUAACUAGCUGAAUACCCUUAACGGCGUAUGCGUUUACGCUUGGUUUUACCAUCCUACAACCAUUCUGGGUGAAUUAUCCAUCUCUAUUAAAAGUUGGUCCUAUAUAUAUGGGCUAUGGAUGUUUUAUAUCCAUGAAGGCCUUUCUUCCUUUUUUUGUGAUACCAUACAGAAACCCCUGAUGAAGUCGUUCUGACGAAAUGCGUUGGGUCGAAUCCGUUACGGUCUCUUAUCUAGUUCAUCAGUAAACCCCACAGAAUAUACACCUAUAAGGGUGAGGGUGUUCUUUAAAGGCUUGAACAGUUAACCUAUUGACUGUAUCUGGAUGUAUUUCUUUUAAGAAUGUUUAUAUGUAUGGAACCUUUUAUCUGUAAACAAUGUU
Pseudophryne corroboree (corroboree frog) is the source of this 468-nucleotide long non-coding RNA. RefSeq lists it as uncharacterized. The record is from RefSeq and is a predicted model, not a curated record. The transcript is spliced from 4 exons. NCBI's taxonomy places the organism in Eukaryota, Metazoa, Chordata, Amphibia, Anura, Myobatrachidae.